This 497-nucleotide ribosomal RNA is filed under the name uncultured bacterium. RNAcentral describes it as "partial 16S ribosomal RNA". It matches the Rfam family "Bacterial small subunit ribosomal RNA", at positions 28 to 507 of the family's 1533-position model. The record is from RNAcentral.
GACGAACGCUGGCGGCGUGCCUAAUACAUGCAAGUCGAGCGAACAGACGAGGAGCUUGCUCCUCUGACGUUAGCGGCGGACGGGUGAGUAACACGUGGAUAACCUACCUAUAAGACUGGGAUAACUUCGGGAAACCGGAGCUAAUACCGGAUAACAUGUUGAACCGCAUGGUUCAACAGUGAAAGACGGUCUUGCUGUCACUUAUAGAUGGAUCCGCGCCGCAUUAGCUAGUUGGUAAGGUAACGGCUUACCAAGGCAACGAUGCGUAGCCGACCUGAGAGGGUGAUCGGCCACACUGGAACUGAGACACGGUCCAGACUCCUACGGGAGGCAGCAGUAGGGAAUCUUCCGCAAUGGGCGAAAGCCUGACGGAGCAACGCCGCGUGAGUGAAGAAGGUCUUCGGAUCGUAAAACUCUGUUAUUAGGGAAGAACAAAUGUGUAAGUAACUAUGCACGUCUUGACGGUACCUAAUCAGAAAGCCACGGCUAACUACGUG